GUGGUGUUUUCACCAUGGCUGUAAAACUGAGCAGUGUCCUGCAGCACGAACGCACCACGCAGAGUGACUGGUUCCUGCCGACAGGGCCUGCCAAGUUAUUGGGCUUCCUGUGCGAUGGUUCCAUACAAA
Non-coding RNA from Ictalurus punctatus (channel catfish), 129 nucleotides. NCBI's taxonomy places the organism in Eukaryota, Metazoa, Chordata, Actinopteri, Siluriformes, Ictaluridae. The record is from Ensembl.